UGGGGAAUUUUGGACAAUGGGGGCAACCCUGAUCCAGCCAUGCCGCGUGAGUGAAGAAGGCCUUCGGGUUGUAAAGCUCUUUCAGCCGGGAAGAAAGCGCACUCUCUAACAUAGGGUGUGGAUGACGGUACCGGAAGAAGAAGCACCGGCUAACUACGUGCCAGCAGCCGCGGUAAUACGUAGGGUGCGAGCGUUAAUCGGAAUUACUGGGCGUAAAGGGUGCGCAGGCGGUUUUGUAAGACAGAUGUGAAAUCCCCGGGCUUAACCUGGGAACUGCGUUUGUGACUGCAAGGCUAGAGUACGGCAGAGGGGGGUGGAAUUCCGCGUGUAGCAGUGAAAUGCGUAGAUAUGCGGAGGAACACCGAUGGCGAAGGCAACCCCCUGGGCCUGUACUGACGCUCAUGCACGAAAGCGUGGGGAGCAAACA
Molecule: ribosomal RNA, 427 nt
Filed under: uncultured prokaryote
Description: bacterial SSU rRNA
Rfam family: Bacterial small subunit ribosomal RNA
Source: RNAcentral